AUUCCUGCAGCCCGGUUUAUGAUACACACACGCUCAGGGAUUGUACUUCCCAGAGAGGCUUCCGCCUGUGCUUGCUCCCGGAAUCUAUUAUCCAUCGUGCUUUUUUGUUGCACACGUCUUUAAAGUCCACCAGAAUCCAACGAAAUGGAGCCUCGAGGAAAAGAAGAGAUUUAGCCGCGAAGGAUUCUGGGAAUGCUGGGCUUACAGGGGCGCCGAUCUUCGCUGGCGCUAGGCGCUUGGUUUCCUCUCCGCAGCUCUCUGCGCACGGUACGCCUGUCCCUCGUUGGCCUUCCACUCAGGGCAAUCACCAGCCACUCUCAGGGUCCUCUUGAGCCGUACUAAAAGUUUGGGAAGACUAAAGGAAAUCAGAAGUCCCUCAGUCUGAACAGGACAGCCGUGAGUGGGUGGCCUGGGACCCUCAAAGUAUAAAAACCUAUCGGCCGGCGGGAACUGCUUCAGUCAUUUCAGGGGCAGUGUUUGAUCAGCACUUCUGCGGGAGGAGAUUCCUGAAUCCUGUGUUCCUUAAGGGCUUCCCUGCUGCAGGCUGGGGAUGUUUCAAUGGACUUUCCCUCGAGCCCUUUGGAAAUUACUUCUUAAGCAAUUUUUCGAUGAUCAGCUCCUUUUUAUAGGCAUUUUGUCGUUAAGGGGAGGGGACUGGGUUACCCAGGAAAUAAGUGAGUAUGGGGAUUCUAAGGCUCCUUUUCAUUUUGUCUUGUCUCUUUCCCUUUCAAUCACAGCCGGUGGCAUUUUUGCCAGUGUAAGUUUCUUAAUUUUGUGGGUCUUCCUAUGAAUCUUAAUGGGAUUGGCUCCAUCGGAGAAGCCACACUCACAAAUGUCUUUGAGCUAGCCCUUCUCUAUAUUGGGCAGCUGUAGUUUGGGGCUUACAGUUUUGUAAGAAGUCUGAAGUGGGUCUCACUGGGCUAAAAUCAAGGUGUCGACAGUGCUGCAUUCCUUCUGGAGGUUCCAGGGGAGAAUCUUUUCUUGCCUUUUCCAACUUCCAGAGGCUGCCUGCAUCCUUGACUCGCAGCCCCUUCUUCCAACUUCAAAGUAGCAACCUCAGCCAGAGUCCGUCCAUUGCUGCCCUCUGUAUGGUUCUCUCUCCUCCGCAGCCCUCUUCCACUUUUAAGGACCCUCAUGGUUAACACUGGGCUCACCCAGCUAAUUGAGGAGAAUCGUUAAGGCCAGCUGAUUAGCAACCUUAAUUCCAUUUGCAAUUUUAUUCCCUUUUGUCAUGUAACCUAACAUAUUCAGAGGUUCCGGGGAUUAGGACAUGUAUAUCUUUGGGGGGUGGUAUUCUGCUGACCACAGCAGGAUUAGAAAACCAGAUGGAAGUGAAUGGAUACCGGGAAUCUAGGAUCCAGCUGGCUGUCAGGCUGGCAGAGGUAUCCCAGACCUGUCAGCUCUCAGGAAAGCUGCAUCCAGAGUGCUUUUUGGAUCACUGGGGGAUACCUGGCCUCACUCUAGACUCACUGCCGUGGUCGUUUCAGAAUUGAAUCCGUGAUCAGGAAAUGUUCCCAGUGUUGCUAAUGUACUCCUCCCACACUUGAGAGUCCUGAAUCCCAUCUCCUGAGAAGAGGCGUUGGGCUCAAGUGGCUAGAGAGAAGUUUCUUGUCAGAGAAAUCUUGCUACCUUGAGGAGAGGAAGCAUAACUAGACUGGGAUGGAUAGGACACUUAGGGAAGAGGAAGUGUUUCAUAUCCCUGGGACCAGGAGGCCAGAAUGAGGCAAACUUGCCCCUCUGUCUGGCCUCCUGUGUUGAGGAGGCCUGAGGUGGCAGAAGGAAGAUGGGAGAAGGGCCCCCAAGAAAGCUCUGGCCAGCCUCAGGCUGUCCCCACC
This 1835-nucleotide long non-coding RNA is filed under the name Homo sapiens (human). Its description in RNAcentral is "non-protein coding lnc-RPL12-1:4". Lineage: Eukaryota; Metazoa; Chordata; Mammalia; Primates; Hominidae. The record is from RNAcentral.